This 466-nucleotide ribosomal RNA is filed under the name uncultured bacterium. RNAcentral's name for it is "partial 16S ribosomal RNA". It matches the Rfam family "Bacterial small subunit ribosomal RNA", at positions 28 to 507 of the family's 1533-position model. The record is from RNAcentral.
GAUGAACGCUGGCGGCGUGCUUAACACAUGCAAGUCGAACGGAAAGGCUCCUGCUUGCAGGGGUACUCGAGUGGCGAACGGGUGAGUAACACGUGGGGGAAAUGCACUGCACUGACGGAUAAGACUUGGGAACUGGGUCUAAUAUAGGAUAGAAUGUUGGUAUGGAUACGGUUGUGUAAAGUUUUUUCGGUGUGGGAUGAGCUAUCGGUCUAUCAGCUUGGCGGUGGGGAAAUGGUCAACCAAGGCGUCGCCUGGUCGCCGGCGUGAGAGGGUGUACGGCCACAUUGGGCCUGCGAGACGGCCCAGUAUCCUACGUGAGGCAGCAGUGGGGAACUUUGCACAAUGGGCGCAAGCCUGAUGCAGCGACGUUGCGUGCGGGAUGACGUCUUUCGAGUUGUAAACUCCUGUCGCUAUGGAUGAAGCGCACGUGACGGUACCUGGAGAAGAAGCACCGGCUAACUACGUG